AUACGGAGGGUGCAAGCGUUAUUCGGAAUCACUGGGCGUAAAGGACGCGUAGGCGGGUUGGCAAGUCAGAUGUGAAAUCCUACAGCUUAACUGUAGCACUGCAUUUGAAACUGCUAACCUAGAGUAUGGGAGGGGGAGAUGGAAUUAGUGGUGUAGGGGUAAAAUCCGUAGAUAUCACUAGGAAUACCGAAAGCGAAGGCGAUCUCCUGGAACAUAACUGACGCUAAGGCGUGAAAGCGUGGGGAGCAAACAGGAUUAGAAACCCCAGUAGUCC
Molecule: ribosomal RNA, 274 nt
Filed under: uncultured bacterium
Lineage: Bacteria
Description: partial 16S ribosomal RNA
Rfam family: Bacterial small subunit ribosomal RNA
Source: RNAcentral